This 1942-nucleotide long non-coding RNA is filed under the name Heterocephalus glaber (naked mole-rat). RNAcentral's name for it is "lncRNA (ENSHGLG00100032947.1)". Lineage: Eukaryota; Metazoa; Chordata; Mammalia; Rodentia; Bathyergidae. The record is from RNAcentral.
GAAUAAUCUUAUCGCCUGUGAGAACUCACAGCAGAGUUCCCCUUAACACAGUCUCAUUUGGACACAAGUUUUCAGAUGAAAAUUGUCACUACUGAUGAGCAAAGAUAGAGCUGGACAGAUCAGGCAACUUGCCUCUACCUCCCCAACGAUCGCAGAAUGUCACUUCUUCACCAUGAAGCCGAAGUUUAUCAUACCCCAAGAAGUCUAAUAAUCAGAAAAAUACAAGGCUUUCUUGUUCAGAGGUUUUCAGCCUUCAACCUGAAAGACAACGCGAAGCUUUGAACUGUUCCAUGCCCACUCUGCAGGACACCUGGGGAGGUCUCCGUGCACACACAGGGCCUGCGGCUCCACCGAGGCUGUUGCCGGGAAGGGGACACCACAACGCCUGAAUGGAGGUUCAGAUUAUUCUUAACGCUGAGCACCUUGAACUUAUAAUUCUUAGGGGACAGAAAUCUGAGUCCCAAGAUGUCUUCAAAUUAGAAGCCAUAUUGAAAAAACUCUCGUUUAAAACCAGACUCACAGUGGUUCUGCCGCCUGCCUCGCAAGCGCAAGGUCCCAAGUUCAAUCCCUGGUACCAAAAAAAUAAAAUAAAACCAGACUCAGAUCUUUACAGAAUAGGUCAGAUCUGUAGUAAUUUAAAUUCUGUCUAUAAUUUUAUUAUUCUAAAAACCAUUUUAGAAGCAUAAUGCUCACUAUUCUGAGCCAAGGAUGUUACUAGAAUUACCUUUGACCACACUGUAUUUGAAUAAGGUUUUAUGAUAUUCUGUUUGUGAUACUUAAUAGCUGUGUGACUUUAAGCAAAUUUUAAAAUUUCUCUUAUUUCAGUUUCAUAAUCUAUAAAAUAAUGAAGGUUAUGGCAGGGAUUAAAUGUAUUAAUGUACCUGACACGUAAUAACCAGUUUGUAAAUAUUCAUUGUCAACAUUAUCAUCCACUUAUUAACUCGUAAUUUUUACAGAAAAGCCAUCAGCACAAAAUUAAUAAAAUCAUUGUAACACAAUUCUUGCAUUCUCAAAAUUUAAAGAUAUUUUUAAAAAAUAGGUUCCUAAAACCCCAAUUACUAUUAACUUGGCUCAGAAUUAACUACUCUAAGCACAUUCGUAUCCUUUCUAGUUGCCCACUUCCACCCAACCUUCCUGCCACCCUAAAUUCCUGCAAAAAGGGAGUCCAGUUGUGUCAGAAAAUAGCUAAUCACACCUUGAAACUGAUUCUAAGCAUGAGCCUGCUAAGGGAAUGAGUACCCUCCAGAAGAUUCUAAGAAAUACUAGCAAACAGGAUUCCUUCCUUCACUAUAUAGCUGGCCUUCCACAUUCACGGGUUCUGCAUCAGUGCAGUCAACAAACCAGGAAUUGAAAUUUUCUUUUUUUUUUAACAAAAAAAGUGGGGCUGGGUAUGAAGCUCAGGGGCAGAGUGCUCUCAUUGCAUACACAAGACCCUGGGUUCAAUCCCCAGCUUUACACACACACACACAAAAAGUGUGUACUAAACAUAUAAUCAUUUUUCUUGACAUUAUUCCUGAACAAUAUAGUGUAACUAUUGCCAUCGCUAUUCUUUUGUUCAGGGGCUACUUUGUAAAGCAGGUAAGCCAACCACAGGCUGACUGGGGCUGGUAUUUUUGAUCUUCAGUUUGCAAGGCUGAUUAUUUUCCAGAUGGGUCUCAUGUUCAGGGAAACAAUGGCAGCUCUUACAUUGUAUUAGGUAUUGUAAGUAAUCUACAAAUAUCUAAAGACUGUAGACCUGUGGUGACAAACCUACGGCAUGUGUGCUGCACCAGGCUGUUUAUCACUGAAAGCUCUAGAAGGUUUGCCAUCACUGCUAUAGGAGGAAAAGGUAGGCUAUGUGUAAAUACUACACCAUUUUAGAUGAGGGAUUUGAGAGCCACAGAUUUCACUGUCUUCAGAGAGUCCUGGAGCCAAUCCCUACAGACACAGAGGGAUGACAGCA